Molecule: unclassified non-coding RNA, 287 nt
Filed under: Hevea brasiliensis (rubber tree)
Lineage: Eukaryota; Viridiplantae; Streptophyta; Magnoliopsida; Malpighiales; Euphorbiaceae
Source: RNAcentral
GUCGUCGGCAAGAUCUACACCCUCUAUCAGAUCAAUCCCGACAAAUAAUCAUAUCAAUCGAUCUGUAACGGCCUCGAUAGAAAUUCCCCUCAAGAAAUUUCAAGAUUCAUCAAGUCGAUCUCAAGUUAUGAUCUCAUUUAUUCUCCGGCCAUCAUCAGAGCUGAAUCGAUCUCCUGAUCUUCGACGGCUUCGUCAUUCCUCAACUAUUCUCAUCUAUUUUUCAGGUAAACCAUUAUCUAUUUUGGGGUUUUUCUAAAUCAUCUCUUGUUUCCAAUUUCAUGUGUUCG